Molecule: ribosomal RNA, 305 nt
Filed under: uncultured bacterium
Lineage: Bacteria
Description: bacterial SSU rRNA
Rfam family: Bacterial small subunit ribosomal RNA
Source: RNAcentral
GCCUACGGGGGGCAGCAGUGAGGAAUAUUGGUCAAUGGUCGGGAGGCUGAACCAGCCAAGCCGCGUGAGGGAGGAAGGUACAGAGUAUCGUAAACCUCUUUUGUCAGGGAACAAAGGCGGGGACGUGUCCCCGGAUGAGUGUACCUGAAGAAAAAGCAUCGGCUAACUCCGUGCCAGCAGCCGCGGUAAUACGGAGGAUGCGAGCGUUAUCCGGAUUUAUUGGGUUUAAAGGGUGCGCAGGCGGUCUGUUAAGUCUGCGGUCAAAGCCCGGGGCUCAACCCCGGCCCGCCGUUGAAACUGGCGGG